This is a long non-coding RNA of Gavialis gangeticus (Gharial), 1229 nucleotides long. RefSeq lists it as uncharacterized. The record is from RefSeq and is a predicted model, not a curated record. Lineage: Eukaryota; Metazoa; Chordata; Crocodylia; Gavialidae. The transcript is spliced from 2 exons.
GGGAGGAGCUGGAGGGGCGGCCCGCGGUUGCCGGAGGCGUGGGCGCCUCUGCCUCCCUCCCCGCAGUCGCUGGGCUCGGAGGAGGCGCCCUGCCUGGAGGAAAGAAGAGGAGCUGCUGGAGAGGCUGCGGCUUCUCCUUCCCUGGAGGCUGUCCAGAAGAGGCUGGGUCCGCACGGGUCCCACAGGAGGUUGGACGAGGUGACUGGGAAGGUCCCUGCCAACUCCAGAGCUCGCAUUUGCCCCCUCCCUCUCCCCUCUUUUGUCUACACCUUGUCUCCCUCGCCAUAAGGCUUACACCACACUGUUUACCGCAGGCUGCCGCUGAAAGACCUUGGGGAACUCACCAUCCCAGUAGCACAGGGUCAUCCAGCCUGGUGCUACUGCAGUAACCAAUGGUCUCAUUAAAACUUCCAGGUUUGCAGCUUCAGAAGACUUUCAGCACUGGUCCUACUCAAAAAGCUCCCACUUCCAUGAAUUGAUGAAGAUGAUGUAGCAAGUGGCAGAAAGCCUGCUAAAGUUAACUUCAUAAUAACCAAAUCUUUGCCUAAAAAGCACCUUGGACCUGGAGUUUAUGACUUGAGAAGACAGUUGUUACUGAAUUAAAGGAGACAUUCCCAUGCUGUCAACAGACUUACAUUUCUGCUGAAAUAUUUUCCAGAGAAAAUAGUUUCCUUCCUUGACUUGGAUAAAUAAAAAGAAGUUGAGGUGGUUAGGGUUGCUAAUGACAGUGUGGUAGCCAAACACUGGGAGAAAUUAUGUAGGGGGUAUAGUACAAAGUAUGGUUAGUUAUGCAUUAGAAACUGUCAUGCAUCUUUGCAUGCUCUAGUCCUGUUGCUUUUAAAUGCAACGUACUCUGCCUACCCAGCUGCUGUGAUCUUACCUGAUUUCAGGAGCUCAGGUAGAUGAGGGUGUUUCAGGCUAGAAAUGCAAAAAGCUGCACUGGGAGUUUGGCAGAUAGUCCUCCACCUUAGUGAUUAGCCAGUACCCUAGCAUGGUGGUUUGGCAUGCUGUGUUGUGCCAGGGUGCUGCUUUUCAGAAGAGGAGUGAACUGGAAGACCUGGACUCCUUUGGCUAACAGAAUUGCCAGAGCAUUAUUUCCUAAGCGCAGUGUUUUAUCCCAUGACUGACUCAAAUACCGCAGGUGAUUGUAUUCCGUCUCUCCAGAUCUGUCCUGCAUUUCCAGUUGGACAGAAAAAUCUGACACCUGUAUUAAAGGACCGUAAAAGGAA